CAAAAAUGGAUAGAUUUGUGAAGAUAAAGCAGUCUUGGAGAUCUAACUCUUUAUUUUUUUCUUUCCAGCAUAAUGAUGCCAAAAAGAGCAUUGACAAAUUUUUAGCCUACAAAUUUGAAGAAAGUGAACGUGUACUCAAGUUACAGAAAGAUCAAGAGUUGGAUAAGGAGCGAGAAAGAAGACACAGAGAAAAAAAAGAACAUUCUGUUAGGCCAGGAAAAGAGACACUUUCAAAAGAGAGAAGUCAUAAACAUUACGGAAAAGAAGAGAAAGAAAAACAUAAAUCAAAGAGAUCUAAAGACGAAUCUUCCCAUGAAAGCAGAGAAGGGCAACCAGUAGAAGCUAGUGAGAAAGUAAAAAGUAGAGAAAAUGAAAGAAAGAAGCACAGUCUUGGGAGUAGUGAAUACAAAAAAGAGGAGAGGAUUCAAGAAGAAAAGAGCCAUCAGCAUGUAAGGUAAAUUCAGAGAUUAAAAAUAAAAAUGUACUGUAUGGUAUCCACUAAGAUUCAGUCACUACCAAGACAGUAAGCAUGAAUUCUUGAUCUGAAAUAGCUAGGGUAAAUAGAAUUUUUUUUUUUCAUAGGUGUUUUACCUAGCACAGUAGCAAUUAAAAGAAAAAAAAUCUGUGGUUUGUAAAAGCUUAUGUAUUUAUAUGCUGGUUUUGUU
This 665-nucleotide long non-coding RNA is filed under the name Amazona collaria (yellow-billed parrot). RNAcentral's name for it is "lncRNA (ENSACOG00000002409.1)". The record is from RNAcentral. Lineage: Eukaryota; Metazoa; Chordata; Aves; Psittaciformes; Psittacidae.